UGUCUCCUACGGGACGCAGCAGUAGGGAAUCUUCCACAAUGGGCGCAAGCCUGAUGGAGCAACACCGCGUGAGUGAAGAAGGGUUUCGGCUCGUAAAGCUCUGUUGUUGGAGAAAAACGUGCGUGAGAGUAACUGUUCACGCAGUGACGGUAUCCAACCAGAAAGUCACGGCUAACUACGUGCCAGCAGCCGCGGUAAUACGUAGGGGGCAAGCGGUAUCCGGGUUUAUUGGGCGUAAAACG
This 242-nucleotide ribosomal RNA is filed under the name uncultured bacterium. RNAcentral's name for it is "partial 16S ribosomal RNA". It matches the Rfam family "Bacterial small subunit ribosomal RNA", at positions 333 to 567 of the family's 1533-position model. The record is from RNAcentral.